Non-coding RNA from Acanthosepion pharaonis, 113 nucleotides. Lineage: Eukaryota; Metazoa; Mollusca; Cephalopoda; Sepiida; Sepiidae. The record is from the annotation of a GenBank genome assembly.
UUACGGUCACAUCACGUAGAAACACCGGUUCCCGUACGAUCACCGAAGUUAAGCAACGUCGAGCCUGCUCAUUACCUAGAUGGGUGACCACUUGGGAAUACAGGUGCUGUAAG